This 1315-nucleotide ribosomal RNA is filed under the name Vibrio parahaemolyticus. Its description in RNAcentral is "bacterial SSU rRNA". It matches the Rfam family "Bacterial small subunit ribosomal RNA", at positions 131 to 1441 of the family's 1533-position model. Lineage: Bacteria; Pseudomonadati; Pseudomonadota; Gammaproteobacteria; Vibrionales; Vibrionaceae. The record is from RNAcentral.
CUGAUGUGGGGGAUAACCAUUGGAAACGAUGGCUAAUACCGCAUGAUGCCUACGGGCCAAAGAGGGGGACCUUCGGGCCUCUCGCGUCAGGAUAUGCCUAGGUGGGAUUAGCUAGUUGGUGAGGUAAGGGCUCACCAAGGCGACGAUCCCUAGCUGGUCUGAGAGGAUGAUCAGCCACACUGGAACUGAGACACGGUCCAGACUCCUACGGGAGGCAGCAGUGGGGAAUAUUGCACAAUGGGCGCAAGCCUGAUGCAGCCAUGCCGCGUGUGUGAAGAAGGCCUUCGGGUUGUAAAGCACUUUCAGUCGUGAGGAAGGUAGUGUAGUUAAUAGCUGCAUUAUUUGACGUUAGCGACAGAAGAAGCACCGGCUAACUCCGUGCCAGCAGCCGCGGUAAUACGGAGGGUGCGAGCGUUAAUCGGAAUUACUGGGCGUAAAGCGCAUGCAGGUGGUUUGUUAAGUCAGAUGUGAAAGCCCGGGGCUCAACCUCGGAAUUGCAUUUGAAACUGGCAGACUAGAGUACUGUAGAGGGGGGUAGAAUUUCAGGUGUAGCGGUGAAAUGCGUAGAGAUCUGAAGGAAUACCGGUGGCGAAGGCGGCCCCCUGGACAGAUACUGACACUCAGAUGCGAAAGCGUGGGGAGCAAACAGGAUUAGAUACCCUGGUAGUCCACGCCGUAAACGAUGUCUACUUGGAGGUUGUGGCCUUGAGCCGUGGCUUUCGGAGCUAACGCGUUAAGUAGACCGCCUGGGGAGUACGGUCGCAAGAUUAAAACUCAAAUGAAUUGACGGGGGCCCGCACAAGCGGUGGAGCAUGUGGUUUAAUUCGAUGCAACGCGAAGAACCUUACCUACUCUUGACAUCCAGAGAACUUUCCAGAGAUGGAUUGGUGCCUUCGGGAACUCUGAGACAGGUGCUGCAUGGCUGUCGUCAGCUCGUGUUGUGAAAUGUUGGGUUAAGUCCCGCAACGAGCGCAACCCUUAUCCUUGUUUGCCAGCGAGUAAUGUCGGGAACUCCAGGGAGACUGCCGGUGAUAAACCGGAGGAAGGUGGGGACGACGUCAAGUCAUCAUGGCCCUUACGAGUAGGGCUACACACGUGCUACAAUGGCGCAUACAGAGGGCGGCCAACUUGCGAAAGUGAGCGAAUCCCAAAAAGUGCGUCGUAGUCCGGAUUGGAGUCUGCAACUCGACUCCAUGAAGUCGGAAUCGCUAGUAAUCGUGGAUCAGAAUGCCACGGUGAAUACGUUCCCGGGCCUUGUACACACCGCCCGUCACACCAUGGGAGUGGGCUGCAAAAGAAGUAGGUAGUUUAACCU